Molecule: ribosomal RNA, 256 nt
Filed under: uncultured bacterium
Lineage: Bacteria
Description: partial 16S ribosomal RNA
Rfam family: Bacterial small subunit ribosomal RNA
Source: RNAcentral
UACGGAGGGUGCGAGCGUUGUCCGGAAUCAUUGGGCGUAAAGGGCGCGUAGGUGGCCCGGUAAGCGUGCGGUGAAAGCUCGGGGCUCAACCCCGAGUCGGCCGUGCGAACUGCUGGGCUUGAGCACUGUAGAGGCAGGCGGAAUUCCGGGUGUAGCGGUGGAAUGCGUAGAGAUCCGGAAGAACACCGGUGGCGAAGGCGGCCUGCUGGGCAGUUUUGCUGACACUGAGGCGCGACAGCGUGGGGAGCAAACAGGG